This is a long non-coding RNA of Chinchilla lanigera (long-tailed chinchilla), 1169 nucleotides long. RefSeq lists it as uncharacterized. The record is from RefSeq and is a predicted model, not a curated record. The transcript has 4 exons. NCBI's taxonomy places the organism in Eukaryota, Metazoa, Chordata, Mammalia, Rodentia, Chinchillidae.
GCUGCCACCCAGGUCAAACAGGUUGUGGUCUCCACAGGGUUCUGCUCACCAAACCUGCACUCAACUUGGGGAUGCACUGGCUGGGCAAGAAGACCUUUUGAAACAUGUAGCCCUGUGAAGGUGAUGGAACUCAUGUAGUGGCACAUAAGAAGCACUUCAUAAAUGGUGACGAUUAUCCUUGGCAUGUUGAAGACAGGACUAUAGGAAGCAGCUACCAACAAGAGGCAGUGGGCAAGAUGGGGAAGAGGUGUACUUCCCAGACAUUUCCCAGGCCAUCCCAGGCCCAGGCUGGACUCAGCCAUUCACAGGGAGACCAUAUGAUGUUUACACACAAGAAUACUUUUGAAGACAAGAGGUGGGGGAGAAAAAGAAUAAGAGGGUUUGAUGCUCACAAGGUUGGUAACGAACAUGGCACCAGAAGCUCUGCAGAGUUCUCUCCAGAAAGGACCAUCUCACAGGAAGGGGACAAAUCAACCAGAGCUGCCAAUGUAUGGGGCAGCAAUGGAGUAAGUACCUGGACGAUACUAUUGCCGUUUGUGCCCAUCACUGCGGACUCAGGAAGAAAGUAGAGCAAGAGCAAGAAGCAGGUGUGUGUGUACGUCUUACUACAGAGAUUUCUGUUUCUCUCUUCUGAGUCAGAAUGUUCAAGGCAGACAAUAAGCUCUGGGCAAACCUACCACGGGGGCUUCCUACUUGGGGAAAUAGAAUUGUUCAGCCCAGUGGUUCUCAAACUGUACCCUUUAUCAGAAUCACUGGGAGGACUUCUGAAAAUGCAGACAGAUGGGCUUAACUGCUAGAGCUCCUAAUUCAGUAGGCUUGGGGUGAGACUGGGAAUGGGAUGCCGAUGUUGGUCAAGGAAGACUACCCUUCGAGACACGCUCUUUUCCUCCACUCACUCCCAUCCCAGCUUCUCUCUUCCACACCUGCUGCAGUUCUUGCUCCUCUUCCCAGUCUUUUUUGAAUCUCCCCCUAAACCACUUCCUCCCUCAGUACCUGUCAUGCUUUGAUCUGUCUGGAUUUCUCACCUGCCUCCCUCUUCUUGUUCCAUACACCAAACCCAGCCAUACCUCCCAUCCCACCUGACGCCACUCCCAAACAAUGAAACGCUUCGUUUUCUUGAAGACUGAAGUGCAAAACAGACAGGAGGAAUAACCAGUGCAUCCGCCUCA